UCCUAAGGAUGCCAAAGAAAAUAGUUUUCUGAGAUACAAUCCAUUUUUGGUAAAGAUACUAUGAA
This 65-nucleotide microRNA precursor is filed under the name Marmota monax (woodchuck). Lineage: Eukaryota; Metazoa; Chordata; Mammalia; Rodentia; Sciuridae. The record is from RNAcentral.